This 484-nucleotide ribosomal RNA is filed under the name uncultured bacterium. Its description in RNAcentral is "partial 16S ribosomal RNA". It matches the Rfam family "Bacterial small subunit ribosomal RNA", at positions 30 to 507 of the family's 1533-position model. The record is from RNAcentral.
AUUGAACGCUGGCGGCAGGCCUGACACAUGCAAGUCGAGCGGAUGAAGGGAGCUUGCUCCUGGAUUCAGCGGCGGACGGGUGAGUAAUGCCUAGGAAUCUGCCUGGUAGUGGGGGAUAACGUCCGGAAACGGGCGCUAAUACCGCAUACGUCCUGAGGGAGAAAGUGGGGGAUCUUCGGACCUCACGCUAUCAGAUGAGCCUAGGUCGGAUUAGCUAGUUGGUGGGGUAAAGGCCUACCAAGGCGACGAUCCGUAACUGGUCUGAGAGGAUGAUCAGUCACACUGGAACUGAGACACGGUCCAGACUCCUACGGGAGGCAGCAGUGGGGAAUAUUGGACAAUGGGCGAAAGCCUGAUCCAGCCAUGCCGCGUGUGUGAAGAAGGUCUUCGGAUUGUAAAGCACUUUAAGUGGGGAGGAAGGGCAGUAAGUUAAUACCUUGCUGUUUUGACGUUACCAACAGAAUAAGCACCGGCUAACUUCGUG